This 490-nucleotide ribosomal RNA is filed under the name uncultured bacterium. Its description in RNAcentral is "partial 16S ribosomal RNA". It matches the Rfam family "Bacterial small subunit ribosomal RNA", at positions 29 to 507 of the family's 1533-position model. The record is from RNAcentral.
AGUGAACGCUGGCGGUAGGCCUAACACAUGCAAGUCGAACGGCAGCACAGGAGAGCUUGCUCUCUAGGUGGCGAGUGGCGGACGGGUGAGGAAUACAUCGGAAUCUGCCCAGUCGUGGGGGAUAACGUAGGGAAACUUACGCUAAUACCGCAUACGACCUUCGGGUGAAAGAGGGGGAUCGCAAGACCUCUCGCGAUUGGAUGAGCCGAUGUCGGAUUAGCUAGUUAGCGCGGUAAUGGCCCACCAAGGCGACGAUCCGUAGCUGGUCUGAGAGGAUGAUCAGCCACACUGGAACUGAGACACGGUCCAGACUCCUACGGGAGGCAGCAGUGGGGAAUAUUGGACAAUGGGCGCAAGCCUGAUCCAGCCAUACCGCGUGGGUGAAGAAGGCCUUCGGGUUGUAAAGCCCUUUUGUUGGGAAAGAAAUCUUUCAGGCUAAUACCCUGGGAGGAUGACGGUACCCAAAGAAUAAGCACCGGCUAACUUCGUG